This 581-nucleotide ribosomal RNA is filed under the name uncultured bacterium. Its description in RNAcentral is "partial 16S ribosomal RNA". It matches the Rfam family "Bacterial small subunit ribosomal RNA", at positions 355 to 932 of the family's 1533-position model. The record is from RNAcentral.
UGGGGAAUAUUGCACAAUGGGCGCAAGCCUGAUGCAGCCAUGCCGCGUGUGUGAAGAAGGCCUUCGGGUUGUAAAGCACUUUCAGCGAGGAGGAAGGUGGUGAGCUUAAUACGCUCAUCAAUUGACGUUACUCGCAGAAGAAGCACCGGCUAACUCCGUGCCAGCAGCCGCGGUAAUACGGAGAGUGCAAGCGUUAAUCGGAAUUACUGGGCGUAAAGCGCACGCAGGCGGUUUGUUAAGUCAGAUGUGAAAUCCCCGGGCUCAACCUGGGAACUGCAUUUGAAACUGGCAAGCUAGAGUCUCGUAGAGGGGGGUAGAAUUCCAGGUGUAGCGGUGAAAUGCGUAGAGAUCUGGAGGAAUACCGGUGGCGAAGGCGGCCCCCUGGACGAAGACUGACGCUCAGGUGCGAAAGCGUGGGGAGCAAACAGGAUUAGAUACCCUGGUAGUCCACGCUGUAAACGAUGUCGAUUUUGGAGGUUGUGCCCUUGAGGCGUGGCUUCCGGAGCUAACGCGUUAAAUCGACCGCCUGGGGAGUACGGCCGCAAGGUUAAAACUCAAAGGAAUUGACGGGGUCAUAGCUG